RNAcentral lists this ribosomal RNA (253 nucleotides) under uncultured bacterium. RNAcentral's name for it is "partial 16S ribosomal RNA". It matches the Rfam family "Bacterial small subunit ribosomal RNA", at positions 524 to 776 of the family's 1533-position model. The record is from RNAcentral.
UACGGGGGGGGCAAGCGUUGUUCGGAAUUACUGGGCGUAAAGGGCUCGUAGGCGGCCAACUAAGUCAGACGUGAAAUCCCCAGGCUCAACCUGGGAACUGCGUCUGAUACUGGAUGGCUUGAAUCCGGGAGAGGGAUGCGGAAUUCCAGGUGUAGCGGUGAAAUGCGUAGAUAUCUGGAGGAACACCGGUGGCGAAGGCGGCAUCCUGGACCAAUACUGACGCUGAGGAGCGAAAGCCAGGGGAGCAAACGGG